This 107-nucleotide transfer RNA is filed under the name Bipolaris zeicola 26-R-13. It matches the Rfam family "tRNA". Rfam says of the family: Transfer RNA (tRNA) molecules are approximately 80 nucleotides in length. The record is from Rfam by way of RNAcentral. Lineage: Eukaryota; Fungi; Ascomycota; Dothideomycetes; Pleosporales; Pleosporaceae. RNAcentral also lists the same sequence under 1 other name.
GCCCGGCUAGCUCAAUCGGUAGAGCGUGAGACUCUUAGUUAUCACGCCCUCAAAGGCACGAUUGUUUCAAAAUCUCAAGGUUGUGGGUUCGACCCCCACGUCGGGCU